ACAAACUUGGUCAUUUAGAGGAAGUAAAAGUCGUAACAAGGUCUCCGUUGGUGAACCAGCGGAGGGAUCAUUACAGAGUUGCAAAACUCCCUAACCCUUGUGAACAUACCUGUACGUCGUUGCUUCGGCGGGUAGCCCCUUUACGGGGCCUCGACCUCCCAGCGAGGUUGCCCGCCGGAGGACCACACAAAACUCUUGAAUUAAUGGCUUCUCUGAGUAUUAAUCAAAUAAGUUAAAACUUUCAACAACGGAUCUCUUGGUUCUGGCAUCGAUGAAGAACGCAGC
This 285-nucleotide unclassified non-coding RNA is filed under the name uncultured fungus. Its description in RNAcentral is "partial contains small subunit ribosomal RNA, internal transcribed spacer 1, and 5.8S ribosomal RNA". The stretch from base 1 to 73 matches the Rfam family "Eukaryotic small subunit ribosomal RNA", at positions 1759 to 1831 of the family's 1831-position model. The record is from RNAcentral. Lineage: Eukaryota; Fungi.